ACUCCUGCGGGAGGCAGCAGUGGGGAAUAUUGGACAAUGGGCGCAAGCCUGAUCCAGCCAUGCCGCGUGAGUGAUGAAGGCCCUAGGGUUGUAAAGCUCUUUCACCGGUGAAGAUAAUGACGGUAACCGGAGAAGAAGCCCCGGCUAACUUCGUGCCAGCAGCCGCGGUAAUACGAAGGGGGCUAGCGUUGUUCGGAUUUACUGGGCGUAAAGCGCACGUAGGCGGACUAUUAAGUCAGGGGUGAAAUCCCGGGGCUCAACCCCGGAACUGCCUUUGAUACUGGUAGUCUUGAGUUCGAGAGAGGUGAGUGGAAUUCCGAGUGUAGAGGUGAAAUUCGUAGAUAUUCGGAGGAACACCAGUGGCGAAGGCGGCUCACUGGCUCGAUACUGACGCUGAGGUGCGAAAGCGUGGGGAGCAAACAGGAUUAGAAACCCGGGUAGUCCCAUG
Molecule: ribosomal RNA, 448 nt
Filed under: uncultured organism
Description: partial 16S ribosomal RNA
Rfam family: Bacterial small subunit ribosomal RNA
Source: RNAcentral